Long non-coding RNA from Lynx canadensis (Canada lynx), 113 nucleotides. RefSeq lists it as uncharacterized. NCBI's taxonomy places the organism in Eukaryota, Metazoa, Chordata, Mammalia, Carnivora, Felidae. The record is from RefSeq and is a predicted model, not a curated record. The transcript is spliced from 3 exons.
UGCCUCUAAUCAGCAGUUACCCCAAAGCUGCAUUCUAGGAAAACUGCCUAUCUGCCUACCAUUUCUAACUCUAGCGAUGGAGAUGGGUAGAGCGCAGGUCUGAUCUCCAGUCA